CAAACGGCUGAAAUAUACAUCAUUGACCCGUCGGGAUUUUGGGCUCUCAUCCAGUUGCUUACCUAUUGUGUUAAAAAACUGACUAAUAGCCUCGACAUUCUCCUCUGCAGGGCAUAUUUUAGGGUCAGGCCCCAACAGCUCCAGAACAAUAUGGUGAACAAUCUUUUCAGGCACCAUCUUCUGUUUCAGAAGCUCACCUAUCAGGCGAAUGUUUCCUAGAGUUCGAAGCUUAACCAUUCUUUCUUUAUCUCUUCUUUCCGUUUCCUGCUCAGGACUAGUCAUCUGCCUGAUUUCUGCCCUCAUGUUAUCAGCACCUUCAAAUGCCUCUUGGCAAAUAUUUAAGAGAACACGUUUAAAAGUGAUAUCUUUCUCUCCAGGCACUUCGGAUGGAAAUGAAGGAAGCUUCUCGUUGAGGUCAGAGCACAAAAGUGCAUACAUAGGGCAAAAUGUGGGCUCAAAUACGGCCUUCUCAAAUAUAAGCGAUAUAACAUCCUUCAAAAUAUCAGCGGAUGUAAUUCCUGAGUCAAUCAGUUGACCUUUGAGUAUGUCAAACUUUUCUGGAGUCAAUUUAUUCAGUAUACCUUUAACUGUCUUCAAAACUCGUUCCUUAUCUGAGAUAUUACCUCUUCUAACUGACCAAGGAACUUCAGCCUUGAUGAGAG
RNAcentral lists this unclassified non-coding RNA (662 nucleotides) under Hevea brasiliensis (rubber tree). Lineage: Eukaryota; Viridiplantae; Streptophyta; Magnoliopsida; Malpighiales; Euphorbiaceae. The record is from RNAcentral.